This 273-nucleotide ribosomal RNA is filed under the name uncultured bacterium. Its description in RNAcentral is "partial 16S ribosomal RNA". It matches the Rfam family "Bacterial small subunit ribosomal RNA", at positions 523 to 796 of the family's 1533-position model. The record is from RNAcentral.
AUACAGAGGGUGCGAGCGUUAAUCGGAAUUACUGGGCGUAAAGCGCGCGUAGGCGGCUUAUUAAGUCAGAUGUGAAAUCCCCGGGCUCAACCUGGGAACUGCAUCUGAUACUGGUAAGCUAGAGUUUUGAGAGGGAAGUAGAAUUUCAGGUGUAGCGGUGAAAUGCAUAGAGAUCUGAAGGAAUACCAGUGGCGAAGGCGACUUCCUGGCCAAAAACUGACGCUGAGGUGCGAAAGCGUGGGUAGCAAACGGGAUUAGAAACCCUUGUAGUCC